Long non-coding RNA from Mercenaria mercenaria, 1460 nucleotides. RefSeq lists it as uncharacterized. NCBI's taxonomy places the organism in Eukaryota, Metazoa, Mollusca, Bivalvia, Venerida, Veneridae. The record is from RefSeq and is a predicted model, not a curated record. The transcript has 3 exons.
GAAAAGAAACAAUCCAUGCUUCUCUUGAUAUAACUGCAAUAAAAAUAAUGUAAAAAGCAAACCUAACAAACCAUAUACGUAUGCAAUAAAUGCAUUUACGCAAAAAAAAUCAACAGGGAAUGCCAUGUUCCAAAAACGCAAGACUGACUUUACAAGUUUGAAAACUUAUGGUAUGCUUUUUAUUAAGGCGAUAGGUAUCCCGACAAUUAUAAGAAACAUGACAACGUUCUGCUUGGCCGAGUGGUCAAUAUCGCUGGCGUCGGAUCACUUACCCUUCAGCUCUGUGAGUUCUAAACCUCGUUUGCGUUGUAGAAUUAUUUCAUGUGAGGAAGUCAUCAAGCUGGUGUUACUCGAAACAAAAUUAUAUGUCGAUUGUUUCUCUGCACAUAGUCGCUGUCUGAGGAAGAUAGAGUUUUAUAUUUUGACCUAUAAACCACUUUUAGUACUGGUGUUUAUCAGAUAUUGUAAACAUUUCCAUUCUAUCCCGAUCCACUUUUGGACCGACUGUUUCAUUUUAUAUGUAAGAUUACAAUCUGUUUAUAUUCUCAUGCGUGUUUUAAGACUAAAUUUAUGUUUAAUAAAGUUUGAAUUACUAUUGAGAAAAGAUGCAUAAAUAUAUCUUACUUUUUCUCAUUGCAACACUUCUUGUUAAUGGAAUUUAUGGAGGUGAUGUGGAUGAAGUGAUUAAGAUUAGUCGAGAAGAAUUUGAAAAUCUCAAAGCAACAGUCAGUCGUCUCGAAAUCUUUGCAGAAAAUCAAGUCUUAUUGAAUCGACGGCUUGAAUCGGACCUAGAUAAACAACGUGAGGUUAUUAAGGAUCUUCAAGACGUUAUAUCACAACAAGCGGAGAAGAUUUAGCGACUUGAAGAGCUGCCGCGACAAACAGAAGCAAUCAAGUGUGGAACACCUACAAUACAGAAAAAGUCAGUGAAGUCUUCAUCAGAAAUAAAACGAUAUGCAGAAAAUUCGGUGGCAUUUUUCGCAACACUCACCAAAUCACAUGUGGAUCAUCUCGGUCUUCAUCAAAACGUUGUAUUUGAGGACGUUGUCACUAAUAUUGGCAAUGCUUACAACAAUCACCAAGGUGUGUUCGUCGCCCCUGUCAGUGGUCUCUACGUUAUUACAACUAGUUUGAGGUCAAGGAAUGACAGAGAGUUCUGGGCAGCUGUCGUAGUAAACGGUACCGAAAUUGUCAGAUUAAAUGGUCGAGGUACAGAUAACAGACAUGGCACCGGUGCACAAACAGCUAUUAUAACGCUAAAAAAAGACCAAGUAAAUUCGUCCAACGUCGCCUACAGAUACACGACGUCAACGUCAAAUAUGUGAUAAACGCAUGUUCUCCAUAUCUAAAGUGCUUAAUGAAACACGGUUCGAGGCAGAUGCCAAAUCAGCUAAAUCCAAGUGCACUUUAAAUUUACAUACAACGGUGGAGUCCAUAAACAAGUCAUCGACCAUAAAGUG